GUGACCUACGGGGGGCAGCAGUCGAGAAUCAUUCACAAUGGGGGAAACCCUGAUGGUGCGACGCCGCGUGGGGGAAUGAAGGUCUUCGGAUUGUAAACCCCUGUCAUGUGGGAGCAAAUUAAAAAGAUAGUACCACAAGAGGAAGACACGGCUAACUCUGUGCCAGCAGCCGCGGUAAUACAGAGGUCUCAAGCGUUGUUCGGAAUCACUGGGCGUAACGCGUGCGUUGGCUGUUUCGUAAGUCGCGUGUGAAAGGCGCGGGCUCACCCCGCGGACGGCCCCU
RNAcentral lists this ribosomal RNA (283 nucleotides) under uncultured bacterium. RNAcentral describes it as "partial 16S ribosomal RNA". It matches the Rfam family "Bacterial small subunit ribosomal RNA", at positions 334 to 628 of the family's 1533-position model. The record is from RNAcentral.